CUGGGAAUCAAACCCUAGACCUUCUUCAAGCCACCGUGCCGCCCCUCAGCACUGGUGUUCCUGUCUCACGUCUGUUGAUUUCGGGAUUGGCUCCAGACCUCACGGAACCUUGACUGGUUGAACUGGGAAACACUAAUGAACCAAUAAAUGAAUAAACGAAGCACUUAAGCGUCCAGCCCGACUUGGCUUUUUUUUCUUUCUUUGUCUUUUGUCUUUCUUUCCUUCUUUCUUUCUCUGCAUCAGGACUAGCGUUCCUGUCUCAUACCACAGUUUAGAGAAAAAGAAAGAAAAAAAAGUAAGGACUGGCGUCCCUGUCUCGGUGAUUUUGGGAUUGGCUCCAGACCUCGCGGAACCCUGACUGGGAGA
Molecule: long non-coding RNA, 366 nt
Organism: Trichomycterus rosablanca
Lineage: Eukaryota; Metazoa; Chordata; Actinopteri; Siluriformes; Trichomycteridae
Exons: 3
Source: RefSeq, a predicted model, not a curated record